AUGUAUUAACUGAGGCAAUGACGUAGCUAACGAGGUAAUAACUGAGCCGCGUCUAUUGCUGGUUGGAAACUAUUUCCAAACCCUCUCUGGGCCUGAGCUUGCCUCGGGCCUUUGAGAAUUUCUGGAAGGGCUCCCUUUUUGGAUAAAGCC
Medicago truncatula (barrel medic) is the source of this 150-nucleotide small nuclear RNA. It matches the Rfam family "U4 spliceosomal RNA". Rfam says of the family: U4 small nuclear RNA (U4 snRNA) is a component of the major U2-dependent spliceosome. The record is from Rfam. NCBI's taxonomy places the organism in Eukaryota, Viridiplantae, Streptophyta, Magnoliopsida, Fabales, Fabaceae.